RNAcentral lists this ribosomal RNA (497 nucleotides) under uncultured bacterium. RNAcentral's name for it is "partial 16S ribosomal RNA". It matches the Rfam family "Bacterial small subunit ribosomal RNA", at positions 28 to 507 of the family's 1533-position model. The record is from RNAcentral.
GAUGAACGCUGGCGGCGUGCCUAAUACAUGCAAGUCGAGCGAACAGACGAGGAGCUUGCUCCUCUGACGUUAGCGGCGGACGGGUGAGUAACACGUGGAUAACCUACCUAUAAGACUGGGAUAACUUCGGGAAACCGGAGCUAAUACCGGAUAAUAUAAUGAACCGCAUGGUUCAAUAGUGAAAGACGGUUUUGCUGUCAGUAAUAGAUGGAUCCGCGCCGCAUUAGCUAGGUGGUAAGGUAACGGCCUACCAAGGCAACGAUGCGUAGCAGACCUGAGAGGGUGAUCGGCCACACUGGAACUGAGACACGGUCCAGACUCCUACGGGAGGCAGCAGUGGGGAAUCUUCCGCAAUGGGCGAAAGCCUUACCGAGCCACGCCGCGUGAGUGAUGAAGGUCUUCGGAUCGUAAAACCCUUUUAUUAGGGAAGAACAACUGUGUAAGUAACUAUGCCCGUCUUGACGGUACCUAAUCAGAAAGCCACGGCUAACUACGUG